CUACGGCUGCGGCGCCUUUGUGAGCGCGGCUGGCGGCCAGGAUCGAGCCCUGGCCCGGGCCCUGGCCCAGCCCCGGCCUCCAAGGACCGCACAGAAGGAGGUGCCCACCGGAGGGAGGAGGCGCUCGACUUUCUCAGGAUACUGUCCCUCUCCCAGAGAGGAGCUGAAGGAGUAGGACAGAAGAACUGUCAAAUUCUGGAAUCCUUAAAGCCAUGUCCAAGGAUUUGGUGACAUUUGGGGAUGUGGCUGUAAGUUUCUCUCAAGAGGAAUGGGAAUGGCUGAACCCUGCUCAGAGGAAUUUGUACAGGAAAGUGAUGUUGGAGAACUACAGGAGCUUGGUAUCAUUGGGUAAGGACAUCUCCCCUUAAUUCAGAAUCUGCACAUGGGACUGAGCUCCAAUGUAAUAUUUGGGAAACCUCUGACAUGCUUCACUAAAUUUCCCUUUCUUGUGCUUCCCAAAACAGGUUGAAUUUGUAGAAUUGACAGCUUCAUCUUCCCCAUUCUUAUUCCUCAGCUCCCUCCCAUUAUUCUCCCACCUUCUUGAUGAUGCAGAAACUUGAUCUUAUUUAUAGACCUGCCUAAUUCCCCUUUUGUUUUUUGUAAGCAGGAGUUUCUGUUUCUAAGCCAGAUGUGAUCUCAUUAUUGGAGCAAGGAAA
Molecule: small RNA, 656 nt
Filed under: Pongo abelii (Sumatran orangutan)
Lineage: Eukaryota; Metazoa; Chordata; Mammalia; Primates; Hominidae
Description: retained intron
Source: RNAcentral